RNAcentral lists this ribosomal RNA (1287 nucleotides) under metagenome. Its description in RNAcentral is "bacterial SSU rRNA". It matches the Rfam family "Bacterial small subunit ribosomal RNA", at positions 242 to 1520 of the family's 1533-position model. The record is from RNAcentral.
UAGCUAGUUGGUGAGGUAACGGCUUACCAAGGCGACGAUCUGUAGCGGGUCUGAGAGGAUGAUCCGCCACACUGGAACUGAGACACGGUCCAGACUCCUACGGGAGGCAGCAGUGGGGAAUUUUGGACAAUGGGGGCAACCCUGAUCCAGCCAUGCCGCGUGAGUGAAGAAGGCCUUCGGGUUGUAAAGCUCUUUCGGCCGGGAAGAAAUCGCAUGGGCCAAUACCCUGUGUGGAUGACGGUACCGGAAUAAGAAGCACCGGCUAACUACGUGCCAGCAGCCGCGGUAAUACGUAGGGUGCGAGCGUUAGUCGGAAUUACUGGGCGUAAAGCGUGCGCAGGCGGUUUUGUAAGACAGGCGUGAAAUCCCCGGGCUCAACCUGGGAACUGCGUUUGUGACUGCAAGGCUAGAGUACGGCAGAGGGGGGUGGAAUUCCACGUGUAGCAGUGAAAUGCGUAGAGAUGUGGAGGAACACCAAUGGCGAAGGCAGCCCCCUGGGUCGAUACUGACGCUCAUGCACGAAAGCGUGGGUAGCAAACAGGAUUAGAUACCCUGGUAGUCCACGCCCUAAACUAUGUCAACUAGGUGUUGGGUGGGUAAAACCAUUUAGUACCGUAGCUAACGCGUGAAGUUGACCGCCUGGGGAGUACGGCCGCAAGGUUAAAACUCAAAGGAAUUGACGGGGACCCGCACAAGCGGUGGAUGAUGUGGAUUAAUUCGAUGCAACGCGAAAAACCUUACCUACCCUUGACAUGCCAGGAACUUGCCAGAGAUGGCUUGGUGCCCGAAAGGGAGCCUGGACACAGGUGCUGCAUGGCUGUCGUCAGCUCGUGUCGUGAGAUGUUGGGUUAAGUCCCGCAACGAGCGCAACCCUUGUCGUUAAUUGCCAUCAUUUAGUUGGGCACUUUAGCGAGACUGCCGGUGACAAACCGGAGGAAGGUGGGGAUGACGUCAAGUCCUCAUGGCCCUUAUGGGUAGGGCUUCACACGUCAUACAAUGGUCGGUACAGAGGGUCGCCAAGCCGCGAGGUGGAGCCAAUCCCAGAAAGCCGAUCGUAGUCCGGAUUGCAGGCUGCAACUCGCCUGCAUGAAGUCGGAAUCGCUAGUAAUCGUGGAUCAGCAUGUCACGGUGAAUACGUUCCCGGGUCUUGUACACACCGCCCGUCACACCAUGGGAGCGGGUUCCGCCAGAAGUAGGUAGCCUAACCGCAAGGAGGGCGCUUACCACGGCGGGGUUCGUGACUGGGGUGAAGUCGUAACAAGGUAGCCGUAGGGGAACCUGCGGCUG